Molecule: ribosomal RNA, 671 nt
Filed under: uncultured Actinomycetales bacterium
Lineage: Bacteria; Bacillati; Actinomycetota; Actinomycetes; Actinomycetales
Description: bacterial SSU rRNA
Rfam family: Bacterial small subunit ribosomal RNA
Source: RNAcentral
GGCGGCGUGCUUAACACAUGCAAGUCGAACGGAAAGGCCCUGCUUGCAGGGUACUCGAGUGGCGAACGGGUGAGUAACACGUGGGUGAUCUGCCCUGCACUUCGGGAUAAGCUUGGGAAACUGGGUCUAAUACCGGAUAGGAACCAUCUUUAGUGUGGUGGUUGGAAAGUUUUUUCGGUGUAGGAUGAGCUCGCGGCCUAUCAGCUUGUUGGUGGGGUAAUGGCCUACCAAGGCGGCGACGGGUAGCCGGCCUGAGAGGGUGUACGGCCACAUUGGGACUGAGAUACGGCCCAGACUCCUACGGGAGGCAGCAGUGGGGAAUAUUGCACAAUGGGCGCAAGCCUGAUGCAGCGACGCCGCGUGGGGGAUGAAGGCCUUCGGGUUGUAAACUCCUUUCGCUAGGGACGAAGCUUUUUGUGACGGUACCUAGAUAAGAAGCACCGGCUAACUACGUGCCAGCAGCCGCGGUAAUACGUAGGGUGCGAGCGUUGUCCGGAAUUACUGGGCGUAAAGGGCUCGUAGGUGGUUUGUCGCGUCGUCUGUGAAAUUCUGGGGCUUAACUCCGGGCGUGCAGGCGAUACGGGCAUAACUUGAGUGCUGUAGGGGUAACUGGAAUUCCUGGUGUAGCGGUGAAAUGCGCAGAUAUCAGGAGGAACACCGAUGGCGAAGGC